RNAcentral lists this ribosomal RNA (690 nucleotides) under uncultured Eubacteriales bacterium. RNAcentral describes it as "bacterial SSU rRNA". It matches the Rfam family "Bacterial small subunit ribosomal RNA", at positions 64 to 771 of the family's 1533-position model. Lineage: Bacteria; Bacillati; Bacillota; Clostridia; Eubacteriales. The record is from RNAcentral.
AAAUGAUUUCUUCGGAAUGAACUUAAGUGGAUUAGUGGCGGACGGGUGAGUAACGCGUGAGUAACCUGCCUUACACAAGGGGAUAGCCGUUGGAAACGACGAAUAAUACCCUAUGAUGUUUCUAUCUCGCAUGAGAUAUUAACCAAAGUAUUAGCGGUGUAAGAUGGACUUGCGUCUGAUUAGCUAGUUGGUGAGAAAAAAGCCCACCAAGGCAACGAUCAGUAGCCGGCUUGAGAGAGUGUACGGCCACAUUGGGACUGAGACACGGCCCAGACUCCUACGGGAGGCAGCAGUGGGGAAUUUUGCACAAUGGGGGAAACCCUGAUGCAGCGACGCCGCGUGAUUUAGAAGGCCUUCGGGUUGUAAAAAUCUUUUGUAUAGGAAGAAAAUGACAGUACUAUACGAAUAAGGUCCGGCUAAUUACGUGCCAGCAGCCGCGGUAAUACGUAAGGACCGAGCGUUGUCCGGAAUCAUUGGGCGUAAAGGGUACGUAGGCGGGUCAUUAAGUUAGAAGUCAAAGGCUAUAGCUCAACUAUAGUAAGCUUCUAAAACUGGAGACCUUGAGUAAUGGAAGGGAAAGUGGAAUUCCUAGUGUAGCGGUGGAAUGCGCAGAUAUUAGGAGGAAUACCGGUGGCGAAGGCGACUUUCUGGCCAUUAACUGACGCUGAGGUACGAAAGCGUGGGUAGCAA